RNAcentral lists this ribosomal RNA (253 nucleotides) under uncultured bacterium. RNAcentral's name for it is "partial 16S ribosomal RNA". It matches the Rfam family "Bacterial small subunit ribosomal RNA", at positions 524 to 776 of the family's 1533-position model. The record is from RNAcentral.
UACGUAGGGAGCAAGCGUUGUUCGGAUUUACUGGGCGUAAAGGGCGCGUAGGCGGCGCGGUAAGUCACUUGUGAAAUCUCUGAGCUUAACUCAGAACGGCCAAGUGAUACUGCAGUGCUAGAGUGCAGAAGGGGCAAUCGGAAUUCUUGGUGUAGCGGUGAAAUGCGUAGAUAUCGAGAGGAACACCUGCGGCGAAGGCGGGUUGCUGGGCUGACACUGACGCUGAUGCGCGAAAGCCAGGGGAGCGAACGGG